Molecule: long non-coding RNA, 900 nt
Filed under: Parus major (Great Tit)
Lineage: Eukaryota; Metazoa; Chordata; Aves; Passeriformes; Paridae
Description: lncRNA (ENSPMJG00000000221.1)
Source: RNAcentral
UGCUGAUAAGGCCUGUUGGUAAAAAAAAAUCACAUUUUUAUUUUCCCACAGAAGAAGAAAUAGUGGUAUUUACCACCUGUGAAUUUUGUUGCACUUUACCAGUUUAUUUUAUGAGGCUCCUUUACAUCACUCCCAUAUUUCCCCAUAGGAUUCUGGGCUUAAUCAAACCAUUCCUUAAAGCCCAAGUAUUGGUCUGACUUUUAUUGUCACUGAAGCAUUCUCAGGGUUAAUAUUUGGUGACAGAAGCAGAAGAUGCCCCUAGCACUGCUCUCACUAUGCAGAAAUAGAACCAUGACAGAAUUUUUUUUCUCUUUUGUUACUUCUCAGGAGUAAUGAGACCUCUCCCAAUGACUCAGUGAUACUCUCCUCACCAGGUAUUUCAACAGGACCUGCCCUUACCAAAGAAGAGUUUUGCUGACAGCUUCCCAGCACUGCAGAGAUCCCUGACUUUCUGAGCCAUCUUGCCACUGCAAUUAAUGCCAGCUGAGGAUUAAAUAAGGAAGUUGAUGUGCACCCACCCUCCUGAGUGGCUCCUCUUGAUCUUGUAGCAUGAAAUAACAUUGAAAAAUCUGCUUUUUUCACCUUGCCUGCAUGUCCAGAGGUGGAGUUUGUCAUCCAAAGUCUGAAACAGAGGCGCAGCAGAGUACAGCAGUGCUCAGUGUACUUCCUGCAGCCAGAGAUGUCCACAAGCUCCAGGGAGCAGGGAUAAUACCAGAGCACACCUUGUCCAGGAAGCAGAAAUGCCCCCGUGGGAGCAAGAGGAACAGCCUGCUGCCUCUGGAAAGAUUCCACAGGGAGAUGUUGUGCUUCUGUUUUGGAGAUUCAUUUGUGAAAGAAAACCACCAGGAGUGUAAACCUGAAGCCAAAGGCAUCUUGAAAGGAGCCACAUUCAGUGACUGA